RNAcentral lists this ribosomal RNA (470 nucleotides) under uncultured bacterium. Its description in RNAcentral is "bacterial SSU rRNA". It matches the Rfam family "Bacterial small subunit ribosomal RNA", at positions 365 to 825 of the family's 1533-position model. The record is from RNAcentral.
UUCGCAAUGCCCGAAAGGGUGACGAAGCGACGCCGCGUGUGGGAAGAAGGCCUUCGGGUUGUAAACCACUGUCGGGAGUUAAGAAAUGUAAGGAUGUUAAUAGCGUCCUUACUUGACUAAGGCUCCGGAGGAAGCCACGGCUAACUCUGUGCCAGCAGCCGCGGUAAUACAGAGGCGGCAAGCGUUGUUCGGAAUUAUUGGGCGUAAAGAGCACGUAGGCGGCCUUGAAAGUCAGUUGUGAAAGCCUUCUGCUUAACGGAAGAACAGCAUCUGAUACUACAGGGCUUGAGUGCGGGAGGGGAGAGUGGAACUUCUGGUGGAGCGGUGAAAUGCGUAGAUAUCAGAAGGAACGCCGGCGGCGAAAGCGGCUCUCUGGCCCGUAACUGACGCUGAGUGUGCGAAAGCUAGGGGAUCAAACGGGAUUAGAUACCCCGGUAGUCCUAGCCGUAAACGAUGGGCACUAAGUAGAG